RNAcentral lists this long non-coding RNA (1888 nucleotides) under Helianthus annuus (common sunflower). Its description in RNAcentral is "hypothetical non coding rna". Lineage: Eukaryota; Viridiplantae; Streptophyta; Magnoliopsida; Asterales; Asteraceae. The record is from RNAcentral.
UCCUCUAAAAUAUCUUCUCUGCCUUUCUAGAACAUUGAAACCCUAGAUAGAACACUUUCUCUCUCGAUUCUCUCUGCGUAAAUCUUGAGAAUAUCAUCGGCGAUGCAGGCUUUUAUCUACUUUUCCGAUUCACAUCUGAUAACAUCAAGGUAUGUUAACAUGUAAUCCCGUAUUUGAUUCCAUUUUCGCUUCGAUCGUCGUCUUCAUCCUUAAUCUCUCUGAUUUUUUCUUGAUAAUAUCAUCGGCGAUGCUUUUUUCCGAUUAACAUCUGAUAACAUCAAUGUAUCACUUUAUCGUUGUUGAUUUUCAUUUUUUUUGCUGUGUAUCAAAGUGAUACAUUGAUUAUUUGUUACCGGAUUUCGUCAAACCAGGAAUAAUGAUGAUGAUGGAAUUGAUGAGAAAAAUAUUAUGAAUUGUAAAAGGGUUUUCAAUAAGAAAAGAAAGUAUGCAAUGAAAACCAGUUUGCCGUAAAGGUUAGGUGUAUAAACACAUAGACAUGAUCAUCGUAUUUUUGUUCGACAUGGUAUAGUUAAGUAGUUAACCCGAGAUUGUUUUGGUUGACAAAUGGCAAUCGAAGUUGAGUUCAGUGGCUCUACGAUUCGGGUUAAUUGGUAACUUGUGUCUAGCAUUUUUGUUCUUCCCAGUGACUCGAGGAUCGUCUAUAUUGUUGCUGUUCGGGCUAACUUCUGAGGCCAGCAUCAAGUAUCACAUAUGGCUAGGCCAUAUUGUUAUGACCCUCUUCACUUCUCAUGGUGUUUGUUACAUUAUUUAUUGGAUAGUCACCAAGUAGACAUCAGAGGUUGUAAAUGGGCUGGUAGUUUGUAAUCAAGUCAUAAACAGGUUGUUUUUUUUUUCAAAAAGGAUGAACCAUGGCAAGCCUCUUGGUGCAGUUCCCACACGUCUGAACGACCUUGCAACUUUAGUUGUCGGGACACACGUACCAAAGUUACGCAACCUUCAUCGCCAACACUGUAUUUGAAGCCACUGAUAACAGUACCAUAGCAUCAACGACAGUGAUCUACAAAAGGUCCAAAAAACUUUAGCAUUUAGUGGUAGCGCGUGGCUACGGUUGUGCGGUGGCUGAAUCGGGUGGUGAUCGGCGGCUGAUUCAUAGCCGUGAAUGGUGACAUAUAGCUGCCAUUCUGGUCAGUUUUGGGCUGAAGCCGUGAAUACAUUUCACUUAAUGGGUCGUGCCUUGACCAGCUAGACAUUCUGGUACAUACUUGUACUCAAAAUUAAGGGUGCAACAUUCGAGCCGAGCCUGAGCUCGAUCAGACUUGAGCUCGAGCUUGAUUAACUUAUGAAAGCUCGAGCUCAAGCUUAUGUUGAUUCGAGCUUUGUUUUCAAAGCUCGAGUUCAGCUCGUUGGUAUUUUCUUAAGCUUGAGCUGUUGGGUCUAAAAUUGAGACUGAAGCUUGCCAAAUUGAAGAUUACAACACACAUGAAGUUGACGGUUCUAAAGAUGAUACAAGAGUUUGAUAACAUUAGCCUAAGGGGGAGAUUGUUGGGUCUAAAACGUGUAGUCUAAUGUUAUCAUCGAAUCAAGUCAACAAAGUCAACACCAUCAUGUCAAAGUCAACGCGCAAGUCGACACGAGAAGUUCGAAGAAAGAUAUGACGUGUGAAAGAUCAAGAUUUGAUGGUUAUAGUGCUUUGGAUAAUUAAAUAUAUUUUGAGUAGACAAAAUAUAUUUAUUAUCUUGUUUAAUGAGUUUUCAUGCUUAGUGCUAUUUUUAGUAAGUUAUUAUAUCUAGGGACUUAAUUGUAAUUAGCCUAAAAUGGUAAAGGCUAUAAAUAGAUAGAGAUGAUUAGGGUUUUAGGAACAUAUAUUCUAGAGAGAUUUGAGGGUUUUUAGUGAAAACAUCUUUUAUACAAAUCUUUUGGGGCUUUA